RNAcentral lists this transfer RNA (76 nucleotides) under Minisyncoccota bacterium. RNAcentral describes it as "tRNA-Asp". It matches the Rfam family "tRNA". Rfam says of the family: Transfer RNA (tRNA) molecules are approximately 80 nucleotides in length. Their secondary structure includes four short double-helical elements and three loops (D, anti-codon, and T loops). The record is from RNAcentral. Lineage: Bacteria; Bacillati; Minisyncoccota.
GGCCUCGUGGUGUAGUGGUUAACAUGUCUCCCUGUCACGGAGAAGAUCGUCGGUUCGAUCCCGAUCGAGGUCGCAA